AGUGCCCUUCUCACAGAAAAAGCAUCCCACGACGCUGUCACCGGCGGUGCCCGUCCCUGCUUCUGGGCCCUGGCUUUGCUGCUCCGCAGCCGCUUUCCUCCCCGCCCCCCCGGCGGACUGGACUCUGGACCCGGUGCCGCUCUGCCAGGCUUUGGGGACGGGUUUGGUCCCGGAGCCGUCUGCUGCUGGAGGAGGCAACACGGGAGCGUGGUCUGGCAGGUGCCUGGGAGGCUGGGAUGUCCCUGCUCUGCCCUGCCGCCUGCCUAAGGCGUGAUCCCCACACCGGAAAGUCCCGGUCGCAGCGGGAGAACAAAGUACGGCCGGGCGAUCGGCGGGGAAAGCGAGCAGGGCAACGUUCUGUUUUGCGUCGGGUUUCACAGAACCGAAAGCCGGUCCUCUUCCCCUGCAGGCGAACGGGAGGCAGCUCGCAUUUUGUGAGGCUCCACGAGGGACCGCAAACAGGCGGCUCUGGCUGCACUAAGGAGUGCAGCAAAAGGUUUCUCACCGGCUCAGCCACUUGUUUGGUUGCAGUGAGGAUGCCUAGAUGCAGAUUAGGAGCCAGCAGUCACAUCAGUGAAAUGAGAAACCCUGAUUUCAUUGUUUGGCUGCUAGAGGGAACAUGAUGUUUCAUGGACUCAGAACCAAGAUGGGUCAUGGACAAAGAGGAGAUUUUGCAGGGAUUGGGAAUAUUUUACAAAUAAACAUUAAAAUUAAAAAAAAACA
Molecule: long non-coding RNA, 723 nt
Filed under: Chloebia gouldiae (Gouldian finch)
Lineage: Eukaryota; Metazoa; Chordata; Aves; Passeriformes; Passeridae
Description: Erythrura gouldiae (Gouldian finch) lncRNA (ENSEGOG00005007122.1)
Source: RNAcentral